GAUGAAGAACGUUAGCGAAAUGCGAUAAGUAGUGUGAAUUGCAGAAUUCAGUGAAUCAUCGAAUCUUUGAACGCACAUUGCGCCCCUUGGUAUCCCGAGGGGCAUGCCUGUUCGAGCGUCAUUUCACCACUCAAGCCUGGCUUGGUGUUGGGCGACGUCCUCUUUGGGGACGCGCCUCGAAACGCUCGGCGGCGUGGCACCGGCUUUAAGCGUAGCAGAAUCUUUCGCUUUGGAAGUCGGGGCCCCGUCUGCCGGAAGACCUGCUCGCAAGGUUGACCUCGGAUCAGGCAGGGAUACCCGCUGAACCUAAGCAUAUCAAUAGCGGAGGA
Molecule: unclassified non-coding RNA, 329 nt
Filed under: soil metagenome
Description: partial contains 5.8S ribosomal RNA, internal transcribed spacer 2, and large subunit ribosomal RNA
Rfam family: 5.8S ribosomal RNA (bases 1-121)
Source: RNAcentral